Molecule: ribosomal RNA, 996 nt
Filed under: Rhizopus arrhizus
Lineage: Eukaryota; Fungi; Mucoromycota; Mucoromycetes; Mucorales; Rhizopodaceae
Description: LSU rRNA
Rfam family: Eukaryotic large subunit ribosomal RNA
Source: RNAcentral
GCAUAAUCAAUAAGCGGAGGAAAAGAAAAUAACAAUGAUUUGCCCUAGUAACGGCGAGUGAAGAGGAAAGAGCUCAAAGUUGGAACCUGUUUGGCCUAGCUAAACCGGAUUGUAGACUGUAGAAGUGUUUUCCAGGCAAGCCGAGUAAAUAAGUCCUUUGGAACAGGGCAUCAUAGAGGGUGAGAAUCCCGUCUUUGGCUUGAGCAUUUGCCUUUUGUGAUACGCUUUCAAAGAGUCAGGUUGUUUGGGAAUGCAGCCUAAAUUGGGUGGUAAAUCUCACCUAAAGCUAAAUAUUGGCGAGAAACCGAUAGCGAACAAGUACCGUGAGGGAAAGAUGAAAAGAACUUUGAAAAGAGAGUUAAACAGUAUGUGAAAUUGUUAAAAGGGAACCGUUUGGAGCCAGACUGGCUUGUCUGUAAUCAAUCUAGGCUUCGGCCUGGAUGCACUUGCAGGCUAUGCCUGCCAACGACAAUUUGACUUGAGGGAAAAAACUAGGGGAAAUGUGGCCCACUUGUGGGUGUUAUAGUCCCUUAGAAAAUACCUUGGGUUGGAUUGAGGAACGCAGCGAAUGCUUAUUGGCGAGUUUUCCAGGAAGGUUUUCUGAGGUACUACGGUAUCAAGGUUGAUCUUUUUGGUUAUACUUCUAUUCGCUUAGGUUGUUGGCUUAAUGACUCUAAAUGACCCGUCUUGAAACACGGACCAAGGAGUCCACCAUUAGUGCGAGUAUUUGGGUGCCAAACCCAUAUGCGUAAGGAAACUGAUUGAUACGAAUCCAUUAAGGAGGCAGUAUCGUCCGGCGCUGACGUUUUAUACUGAAUUGACCGAGACAAAGCACUAAUGAUGGGACCCGAAAGAUGGUGAACUAUGCCUGAAUAGGGUGAAGCCAGAGGAAACUCUGGUGGAAGGCUCGUAGCGAUUCUGACGUGCAAAUCGAUCGUCAAAUUUGGGUAUAGGGGCGAAAGACUAAUCGAACCAUCUAGUAGCUGGUUCCUGCCG